This 641-nucleotide long non-coding RNA is filed under the name Salvia miltiorrhiza (redroot sage). RNAcentral's name for it is "long non-coding RNA (SMIL_LNC010226)". The record is from RNAcentral. Lineage: Eukaryota; Viridiplantae; Streptophyta; Magnoliopsida; Lamiales; Lamiaceae.
GGAAAUAGACGGACGGAUGCUUCUUUCACUCUUCAAUGGAACAGUUCUUUACAAACACCAAAACAUACAGGUAAAACUUGAGAGAAAAAGAUCGGUCCCUUCUACUAUUACAGACAUGCUAUUUAUAAGAGAUGGAGAGGGGAGGGUAAGAUUGUCUUUUCCUUCAUGGCACGUGCUCGGUACGUCUUUGACGUCGUUGUCACUGGUGGUUGUCCUUGCUCCAACGGCCUUGCAGCUUUUGUAUCUUUCAGAAAGUAGUUGGGAGCUCUUUGCUCGUGCCGUCGUCUCUUAGGUGUUGAAGCCUGCGCUACCUUCUCCAAAGGAUGCCGGUGCUGCGCCGACCUCUCUUAGGGUGGUGGUGGCUGCACUGCUCCUUCAGAGAGAUGGGGUGACUGUGCUGCUCCUUCUAGGGGUGGAAUGACUGCGCUGCUCCUUCAAGGGGUGGAAUGACUGCGCUGCUCCUUCAAGGGGUGGAAUGACUGCGCUGCUCUCUCAAAGGGGCACUGGGAUCUCCGUUCUUUGUCCUGCACUGUUAGUUUUCCUAUCUUGUGCGAUAAUCAUUAAGGCAGUAGAUACUUCAUAUUGGUAGCACAUGGAAUACGGGUCGUGUGCUGCGCUGAUGAGGACCUUAUCCCUCAUCA